AGAUGGGCAUGCGUGCCAUUAGCUAGUUGGUGAGGUAAGGGCUCACCAAGGCGAUGAUGGCUAGGGGUUCUGAGAGGAUUAUCCCCCACACUGGUACUGAGACACGGACCAGACUCCUACGGGAGGCAGCAGUAAGGAAUAUUGGGCAAUGGACGCAAGUCUGACCCAGCCAUGCCGCGUGCAGGAAGACGGCCCUAUGGGUUGUAAACUGCUUUUGUCAGGGAAUAAACCCCCGGAUGUAUCCGGGGCUGAAUGUACCUGAAGAAUAAGCAUCGGCUAACUCCGUGCCAGCAGCCGCGGUAAUACGGAGGAUGCGAGCGUUAUCCGGAUUCAUUGGGUUUAAAGGGUGCGCAGGCGGAUUAUUAAGUCAGUGGUGAAAUCCUACAGCUCAACUGUAGAACUGCCAUUGAUACUGAUAAUCUUGAGUAUAUUUGAAGUGGGCGGAAUGUAGCAUGUAGCGGUGAAAUGCAUAGAUAUGCUACAGAACACCAAUUGCGAAGGCAGCUCACUAAACUAUAACUGACGCUCAUGCACGAAAGCGUGGGGAUCAAACAGGAUUAGAUACCCUGGUAGUCCACGCUGUAAACGAUGAUUACUCGUUGUUGGCGACACACAGUCAGCGACCAAGCGAAAGUGAUAAG
RNAcentral lists this ribosomal RNA (641 nucleotides) under uncultured bacterium. RNAcentral's name for it is "bacterial SSU rRNA". It matches the Rfam family "Bacterial small subunit ribosomal RNA", at positions 223 to 864 of the family's 1533-position model. The record is from RNAcentral.